RNAcentral lists this long non-coding RNA (2525 nucleotides) under Salmo salar (Atlantic salmon). RNAcentral describes it as "lncRNA (ENSSSAG00000120993.1)". Lineage: Eukaryota; Metazoa; Chordata; Actinopteri; Salmoniformes; Salmonidae. The record is from RNAcentral.
CAGACCCAGUGUUCCCCACACCUCAACACAGUAAGACAGACUACAGACCCAGUGUUCCCCACACCUCAACACAGUAAGACAGACCCAGUGUUCCCCACACCUCAACACAGACUACAGACCCAGUGUUCCCCACACCUCAACACAGUAAGACAGACUACAGACCCAGUGUUCCCCACACCUCAACACAGUAAGACAGACUACAGACCCAGUGUUCCCCACACCUCAACACAGACUACAGACCCAGUGAUCCCCACACCUCAACAGACUACAGACCCAGUGUUCCCCACACCUCAACACAGACUACAGACCCAGUGUUCCCCACACCUCAACACAGACUACAGACCCAGUGUUCCCCACACCUCAACACAGUAAGACAGACCCAGUGUUCCCCACACCUCAACACAGACUACAGACCCAGUGUUCCCCACACCUCAACACAGUAUGACAGACUACAGACCCAGUGUUCCCCACACCUCAACACAGUAAGACAGACUACAGACCCAGUGUUCCCCACACCUCAACACAGACUACAGACCCAGUGAUCCCCACACCUCAACAGACUACAGACCCAGUGUUCCCCACACCUCAACACAGACUACAGACCCAGUGUUCCCCACACCUCAACACAGACUACAGACCCAGUGUUCCCCACACCUCAGUAAGACAUGUACACUGACCUUCACCCUCCUCAGGAUCCCAGUGAAAACCAACAGCCUCCUUCUGGAUACAAAGCAAUCCAUCUUUAUUAAAACGUUUCAACUUGUUAGGAUGAAGAGAGAUGACAGGUGAUGAGACGUUCGUGCUCCAGCUUCGACUAGUGGAAAGUCAUGUUGUAUGUUUGAGAAGGGUGAUUCCCCGCUGCUUCCCUGCUGGUUAAUACCUAUAUGUACAACGUUACCACAGUCUUCCUCAGCUUCCUCCUACACAAUACUACAACCAAAGAGCACCACUGGUGAAAAUAUUUACAGACAGACAAUGUACAUUUUAGGUGUUUUUCCUUUAUGCCAUCUUUUUUAAAACAUUAAAGCAUUUGAAACUCUGUAGGUGAAAGUAGCCUCUCAGUGUGUAUCGUUGUCCUCGUCCCGUUCUACAGCACAACAGCCCCGAGUCACACAGCUGAGAGGACAGAUCCACAGACCCACUGGCUCUGACCUGUCAGGAAACUGACCUGGAGUCAGGGUGCGCAUCACAAAUACCACCUUAUUCCCUAUAUAGUGCACUAGUUUUGACCAGAGCUUUUGGCCAUAGGUCUCUGGUCAACAGUAAUCACCUACAUAAUGAAUAGGUUGCUAUUUGGGAUACACCCUUAGUCAGACCUGACCAGCUACAGGAGGUACUAAGGAAGUGACAACAACAACAACAACACCACCACAGUAAAACAAGAUGGAGGAAUCUGACCACAGAACAGAUAUUAUGUGAAGACACUGUGAAAGAGUCGUACCAGAAUGCUGCCUUUUGAAAAAAUAAACAUGUUGCCUUUGAAUAGUAUCCUGCCUGAUUCAGAACUAGCCUUUCACCCAGGGUAUAACAUCAAUCAACAGGUGAAUCAGAACUAGCCUUUCAUCCCAGGGUAUAACAUCAAUCACCAGGUGAAUCAGAACUAGCCUUUCAUCCCAGGGUAUAUCAACAGGUGAAUCAGAACUAGCCUUUCAUCCCAGGGUAUAUCAUCAAUCAACAGGUGAAUUAGAACUAGCCUUUCAUCCCAGGGUAUAUCAUCAAUCAACAGGUGAAUCAGAACUAGCCUUUCAUCCCAGGGUAUAACAUCAAUCAACAGGUGAAUCAGAACUAGCCUUUCAUCCCAGGGUAUAACAUCAAUCAACAGGUGAUUCAGAACUAGCCUUUCAUCCCAGGGUUUAUCAUCAAUCAACAGGUGAAUCAGAAGUUGCAGUCUGUAGUAAAAGUGGUCAACAAGACAAGAGGAAGAAACCAACCGUUCAUAAAUUCACAGGAAACUAUUAAAAUAAUUAUUUACAAAAUAACCAAUAUACUACAGAAAAAAACCUACUGCACACACCAGUACUUUUGGAGAAAAGAAAAAUAUAACUAUAUUUAAAUUAACUUUCUUCUUUUUUUUAAACAAUAUAAAAGCUAUGCUCAAAAGUGGCUUUUUCUUUUUAUAAAACAGUCCCAGGUCUUUUCAGUGUCCAUGUGAGAUGAGAGUUGCUGCUGGCAACGCGAGAAAAUAAAUACAUAUUUGUCUCGUCUGUCUUCCUUGGCGUGGAAAUAGUGUCUUCCUGGAUAUCAGACCUGUAGAGAGACCAGAGAACAGACUUACUACAGAGAUACUACAGCACCCAGACUUACAAUCAAAACACCACAGCUAGCCUGAAAUACAGACCUGUUUUGUGCUAACAUUCCACUGCUUGUACUCUUGUGUCAUUUGUUUGGCACGACAAGGAGAUAGAUGAAGGUUAACACAAAGAGACUGGUACCCAGGCUAUGUCACAAACAGCAGCAGCUUGGAGAAAUACAGGCUUCCAUACAGUAUAGACGAGCACAGCUCUUAGCCCAGGCUCCAUAUUCAC